This 73-nucleotide transfer RNA is filed under the name Plestiodon tunganus. RNAcentral's name for it is "tRNA-Asn". Lineage: Eukaryota; Metazoa; Chordata; Lepidosauria; Squamata; Scincidae. The record is from RNAcentral.
CGGAUAGAGGCCCGCUGGAUUGGGUGUUUAGCUGUUAACUAAAACUUUGCGGGAUCGAGGCCCGCCUAUCUAG